CGGCGGACGGGUGAGUAAUGUCUGGGAAACGGCCCGAUGGAGGGGGGUAACUACUGGAAACGGUAGCUAAUACCGCAUAACGUCGCAAGACCAAAGAGGGGGACCUUCGGGCCUCUUGCCAUCGGAUGUGCCCAGAUGGGAUUAGCUAGUAGGUGGGGUAACGGCUCACCUAGGCGACGAUCCCUAGCUGGUCUGAGAGGAUGACCAGCCACACUGGAACUGAGACACGGUCCAG
RNAcentral lists this ribosomal RNA (235 nucleotides) under uncultured bacterium. Its description in RNAcentral is "partial 16S ribosomal RNA". It matches the Rfam family "Bacterial small subunit ribosomal RNA", at positions 96 to 334 of the family's 1533-position model. The record is from RNAcentral.